AUUGAACGCUGGCGGCAGGCCUAACACAUGCAAGUCGAACGAGUGGCGGACGAGUGAGUAAUGUCUGGGAAACUGCCCGAUGGAGGGGGAUAACUACUGGAAACGGUAGCUAAUACCGCAUACCAUCGGAUGUGCCCAGAUGGGAUUAGCUUGUGGGUGGGGUAACGGCGCACCUGGGCGACGAUCCCGAGCUGGUCUGAGAGGAUGACCAGCGACACUGGAACUGAGACACGGUCCAGACUGCUACGGGAGGCAGGAGUGGGGAAUAUUGCACAAUGGGCGCAAGCCUGAUGCAGCCAUGCCGCGUGUAUGAAGAAGGCCUUCGGGUUGUAAAGGACGUUCAGCGAGGAGGCGUUACGCGCAGAAGAAGCACCGGCUAACUCCGUGCCAGCAGCCGCGGUAAUUC
This 406-nucleotide ribosomal RNA is filed under the name uncultured bacterium. Its description in RNAcentral is "partial 16S ribosomal RNA". It matches the Rfam family "Bacterial small subunit ribosomal RNA", at positions 29 to 526 of the family's 1533-position model. The record is from RNAcentral.